This 1382-nucleotide ribosomal RNA is filed under the name uncultured bacterium. RNAcentral's name for it is "bacterial SSU rRNA". It matches the Rfam family "Bacterial small subunit ribosomal RNA". The record is from RNAcentral.
AGAGUUUGAUCCUGGCUCAGGAUGAACGCUGGCGGCGUGCCUAACACAUGCAAGUCGAACGGGAAUAGGAUGAAACCUAGUGAUUCCUAUUCCAGUGGCGGACGGGUGAGUAACGCGUGGGUAACCUGCCUUGCACUGGGGGAUAACACUUAGAAAUAGGUGCUAAUACCGCAUAAGCGCACAGAACCGCAUGGUUCGGUGUGAAAAACUCCGGUGGUGUAAGAUGGACCCGCGUCUGAUUAGCUGGUUGGUGAGGUAACGGCUCACCAAGGCGACGAUCAGUAGCCGGCCUGAGAGGGUGAACGGCCACAUUGGGACUGAGACACGGCCCAAACUCCUACGGGAGGCAGCAGUGGGGAAUAUUGCACAAUGGGGGAAACCCUGAUGCAGCAACGCCGCGUGAGUGAAGAAGUCAUUCGUGAUGUAAAGCUCUAUCAGCAGGGAAGAAAAUGACGGUACCUGACUAAGAAGCCCCGGCUAACUACGUGCCAGCAGCCGCGGUAAUACGUAGGGGGCAAGCGUUAUCCGGAUUUACUGGGUGUAAAGGGAGCGUAGACGGCGACGCAAGUCUGAAGUGAAAUGCCAGUGCUCAACACUGGAACUGCUUUGGAAACUGUGUAGCUAGAGUGCAGGAGAGGUAAGUGGAAUUCCUAGUGUAGCGGUGAAAUGCGUAGAUAUUAGGAGGAACACCAGUGGCGAAGGCGGCUUACUGGACUGUAACUGACGUUGAGGCUCGAAGGCGUGGGGAGCAAACAGGAUUAGAUACCCUGGUAGUCCACGCGGUAAACGAUGAUUACUAGGGGGUCGGGGGGGCUAUAGCCCUUCGGUGCCGCCGCAAACGCAAUAAGUAAUCCACCUGGGGAGUACGUUCGCAGGAAUGAAACUCAAAGGAAUUGACGGGGACCCCGCACAAGCGGUGGAGCAUGUGGUUUAAUUCGAAGCAACGCGAAGAACCUUACCUGACCUUGACAUCCCUCUGGCCGGUCCGUAAUGGGACCUUCCCUUCGGGGCAGAGGAGACAGGUGGUGCAUGGUUGUCGUCAGCUCGUGUCGUGAGAUGUUGGGUUAAGUCCCGCAACGAGCGCAACCCCUAUCCUUAGUAGCCAGCAGUAAGAUGGGAACUCUAGGGAGACUGCCGGGGAUAACCCGGAGGAAGGCGGGGAUGACGUCAAAUCAUCAUGCCCCUUAUGGCCAGGGCUACACACGUGCUACAAUGGCGUAAACAAAGGGAAGCGAGAUUGUGAAAUGGAGCAAAUCCCAAAAAUAACGUCUCAGUUCGGAUUGUAGUCUGCAACUCGACUACAUGAAGCUGGAAUCGCUAGUAAUCGCAGAUCAGAAUGCUGCGGUGAAUACGUUCCCGGGUCUUGCACUCACCGCCCGUCA